UACGUAGGUGGCGAGCGUUGUCCGGAUUUACUGGGCGUAAAGAGCCCGCAGGCGGCCUGUUAAGUUCAAGGUGAAAUCUCCCGGCUCAACUGGGAGGGUGCCUCGAAAACUGGCAGGCUUGAGUCAUGGAGAGGGAUGCAGAAUUCCUGGUGUAGCGGUGAAAUGCGUAGAUAUCAGGAGGAAUACCAGUGGCGAAGGCGGCAUCCUGGCCAUGUACUGACGCUCAGGGGCGAAAGCGUGGGGAGCAAACCGG
RNAcentral lists this ribosomal RNA (253 nucleotides) under uncultured prokaryote. RNAcentral's name for it is "partial 16S ribosomal RNA". It matches the Rfam family "Bacterial small subunit ribosomal RNA", at positions 524 to 776 of the family's 1533-position model. The record is from RNAcentral.